UACAGAGGUCUCGAGCGUUGUUCGGAUUUACUGGGCGUAAAGGGCGCGUAGGCGGCGCGGCGUGUCGAGUGUGAAAUCUCCGGGCUCAACCCGGAAAGUGCGCUCGAAACUGCCGUGCUCGAGUGCGGGAGAGGGAAUCGGAAUGCAGGGUGUAGCGGUGAAAUGCGUUGAUAUCCUGCAGAACACCGGAUGCGAAGGCGGAUUCCUGGAACGCAACUGACGCUGAGGCGCGAAAGUCGGGGGAG
Molecule: ribosomal RNA, 245 nt
Filed under: uncultured Verrucomicrobiota bacterium
Lineage: Bacteria; Pseudomonadati; Verrucomicrobiota
Description: uncultured Verrucomicrobia bacterium partial 16S ribosomal RNA
Rfam family: Bacterial small subunit ribosomal RNA
Source: RNAcentral